RNAcentral lists this ribosomal RNA (485 nucleotides) under uncultured bacterium. RNAcentral describes it as "bacterial SSU rRNA". It matches the Rfam family "Bacterial small subunit ribosomal RNA", at positions 28 to 507 of the family's 1533-position model. The record is from RNAcentral.
GAUGAACGCUAGCGGCAGGCUUAAUACAUGCAAGUCGAGGGGCAGCACGGGUAGCAAUACCUGGUGGCGACCGGCAAACGGGUGCGGAACACGUACGCAACCUUCCCAUAACUGGUGAAUAGCCCUCCGAAAGGAGGAUUAAUACACCGUAACUUAACGAAGUGGCAUCACUUUGUUAAUAUAGGCUUCGGCCGGUUUUGGAUGGGCGUGCGCCUGAUUAGGUAGUUGGCGGGGUAACGGCCCACCAAGCCUGCGAUCAGUAACUGGUGUGAGAGCACGACCAGUCACACGGGCACUGAGACACGGGCCCGACUCCUACGGGAGGCAGCAGUAAGGAAUAUUGGUCAAUGGACGAAAGUCUGAACCAGCCAUGCCGCGUGAAGGAUUAAGGCCCUCUGGGUUGUAAACUUCUUUUAUCUGGGACGAAAAAGGGUAUUCUUACUCACUUGACGGUACCAGAGGAAUAAGCACCGGCUAACUCCGUG